UAAUCAUUUGUCUAUUAAUUGUAGACCUGUAUGAAGGGCAAAAUGAGGGUUUAACUGUCUCUUGUAAUAAAUCUAUUAAACUGAUCUUCUAGUAAAAAAGCUAAAAUAACCCCAUAAGACCAGAAGACCCUGUGAAGCUUAAACUAAACAAUUAAACCAAAUAACAACUAAUUUCGGUUGGGGCGACCUUGGAAACAAAAAUAACUUCCAACUUAAAACUUACCACAAUGGCCAACAAGCCUAUCAAUGACCCAGUAAAACUGAUAAAUGAACAAAGUUACUCCAGGGAUAACAGCGCUAUCUUCUUCAAGAGUCCAUAUCAAAAAGAAGGUUUACGACCUCGAUGUUGGAUCAGGACAUCCUAUUGGUGUAGCCGCUAUUAAGGGUU
This 388-nucleotide ribosomal RNA is filed under the name Natriciteres olivacea. RNAcentral's name for it is "partial 16S ribosomal RNA". It matches the Rfam family "Bacterial large subunit ribosomal RNA", at positions 1962 to 2573 of the family's 2925-position model. The record is from RNAcentral. Lineage: Eukaryota; Metazoa; Chordata; Lepidosauria; Squamata; Natricidae.